Molecule: long non-coding RNA, 265 nt
Filed under: Neogobius melanostomus (round goby)
Lineage: Eukaryota; Metazoa; Chordata; Actinopteri; Gobiiformes; Gobiidae
Description: lncRNA (ENSNMLG00000013253.1)
Source: RNAcentral
CACCAAUCUGGAGCUGACUUUUGAUCUUCGUGACGAAAACUCAAAAACUCACCCAAAACGUAACAGCUCCUGCACAGAUGAAAUCAGGUGUCGCCGGAGAGUCUCCUACAGAAGAAAGUUUUCUACAGGCUCCCACAACAAGGUGCCAGUGGCCACAUACUGCGGCAGUCGGCAGCAGCGGCGCAUGUACGACUCGUCAGUGGAGGACAGGAGGGAGUCUGCGGAGGAGGAGGGAGAGGAGGAAGAGGAGGAGGAAGAGGAGGAG